RNAcentral lists this ribosomal RNA (409 nucleotides) under uncultured bacterium. RNAcentral describes it as "bacterial SSU rRNA". It matches the Rfam family "Bacterial small subunit ribosomal RNA", at positions 8 to 433 of the family's 1533-position model. The record is from RNAcentral.
AGAGUUUGAUCAUGGCUCAGAACGAACGCUGGCGGCAUGCCUAACACAUGCAAGUCGAACGAGAAGCUAUCUUCGGAUAGUGGAAAGUGNCNCACGGGUGAGUAACGCGUGGGAACCUGCCCCUGAGGUUCGGAAUAACGAUUGGAAACGAUCGCUAAUACUGGAUGAGCCCUGAGGGGGGAAAGAUUUAUCGCCUUGGGAGGGGCCCGCGUCCGAUUAGCUUGUUGGUGUGGUAACGGCGCACCAAGGCUUCGAUCGGUAGCUGGUCUGAGAGGAUGAUCAGCCACACUGGGACUNANACACGGCCCAGACUCCUACGGGAGGCAGCAGUGGGGAAUAUUGGACAAUGGGGGCAACCCUGAUCCAGCAAUGCCGCGUGUGUGAAGAAGGCCUUAGGGUUGUAAAGCAC